Molecule: ribosomal RNA, 221 nt
Filed under: Chloropicon mariensis
Lineage: Eukaryota; Viridiplantae; Chlorophyta; Chloropicophyceae; Chloropicales; Chloropicaceae
Description: partial Bacterial large subunit ribosomal RNA
Rfam family: Bacterial large subunit ribosomal RNA
Source: RNAcentral
GAAAGACCCUAUUGAGCUUUACUGUAGGCUGAAAUUGUCUGCGGGCUAUAUCUGCGCAGGAUAGGUGGGAGACUUUGAAGUCGGGAUUUUGGUUCCGAUGGAGUCAACGUUGAGAUACCACUCUGAUGUAGCUAGCAUACUAACCUGAUUCCAUUAUCUGGGUCGGGGACAGUUUCAGUUGGGCAGUUUGACUGGGGCCGUCGCCUCCCAAAGAGUAACGG